This 1688-nucleotide long non-coding RNA is filed under the name Nicotiana benthamiana. Its description in RNAcentral is "long non-coding RNA (NBEN_LNC033857)". Lineage: Eukaryota; Viridiplantae; Streptophyta; Magnoliopsida; Solanales; Solanaceae. The record is from RNAcentral.
UUUGAAGAAAACAUAAUUUAAAGAAUAAAUGUAAAAAAAAUGGAGAAAAGGGGUCCUAGGUUUAUAUAAAAUAUGGACCACAUCAAUGCAAUAUCCAGCAAUCACGCCUCAAAAGCACGUGAUAUUAGUGCACCAGUCAUCAUAUCCAUAUUCUACCCUUCCCACCCCGUUAAGGAAUUUAAAUGCAAUUAGUCUCGUUUAAUUAUUGCAUGCUAGUACCCAUCCCAUCCUAUCAGUCUCGGGGUAUUAAGACUUCUAAUUCUAAAGGUAAUGGAAAAGGAUAUAGGCAUAUAUGGAAUUAAGAGGUUAAAAUUCUAAUUGCGACAUACAAAAAAAGUAACAGAUAUAGGGAUGAACAAAGCAAAUAAGUAAGGCUCAAAUUAACCCCUUAAUCAAACAACAUUUAGCUUAGCAUGUCUUGACACAUACUGAUUUGGUCUUUAAUUUAAACUUAAAAAGCGAGACGGAAUGGUUUAACGCAUAUAUUUAGAUAGAAAUUCAGCAUUAAGCAACUUGGAUCCAAUUGUCAGAAGUUAAGGUGUUCUAAGCGAAUGAUUUAGAAAGUACUGAUUUCAGAAAGAAGUAGUUGCAGAAGAGUUUUGAAAAGACAAUAUAGAUUACGGCGAGUUAAAGAGUGUUAAAGAAAGGUAGGUAGAUUGUCUGAACAUAGAAGUUGUCUUAAAGAACUUCAGAUAAGAAGGCAGAAUUUCUUAUGAAAAAGAGUGGAUUGCAGAGCUAUUUUAAAAAGACAAGUUCAGAAAAACUAAAAUUUAGUAGGAAAAACGUUUAGGCAGAAAGUUUAGAGAGAAACUAUUUCAGAAAAAAGAUGCAGAUUUGAUGAACUUAAAAAUAUACUGGUUCAAACGAUUUUAUUAAAAGAUGGAGGCUAUUGAAAACUUUAAUAAUUAAGACAUUUAAGGACCAAUUAAUCAUACUCUUAUUGCUUAAGACAAAUAAGUCGAGUUUGAUGCAAAAUCCUAUAUGCAUGAUAUCUACAUUUGAUUUUUUAAGAAUUGUUAUUGAACUAAUAAAAAGAUGAUUGUUUAGUUAGCCCUAUAGCUUUCCUAAUGAAUAUGCAGUCCUAAAUAAAUGAUUUCUAUAUGCAUUUAUUUACAUGAACGUUAAAGUUCUAUUGGCAAGAUUUCUAAUGGUUUGCAAUAUGACUAAACAUUAAAUCUUAUAUGCAGAAUUUCUAGACGAUUGCAGCAUAAUUAAACGUUAAACCCUAUAGGCAUGGUAUCUAGGCGACAUUGAAUCAGAAAUAAUGGAUAGUACUAUAGGCAGGAUUUCUAGUAAGAAAAUUAAAGUUCUAAAGGCAUGAUAUCUACCCUUUAUUGAUGCAGAAAAAUAAAACCCCUCCCACACCCUUUUACUAUAUUACCCAAAGUUCUUUUAUACAAAUUAUUACAGAACUGGAAAAGGGGGAAGAAGAUAUAAAAUACAUCAAAAGUACAACUAGAUCCAAACUUCCUAAUGCAACCUUAGUGUCUAAUAACAUGUGAUUAACCAACUUCCGAAAUCCAGAUUUCCAAAGCCUUCUCGUUAUCCAAAGUGUUUCAAAGUUCCAAGGAAUCUUAAGAAUUCCCACCAUUGCUUACACUCAGGAUACCACUAGAAUUAGAAUAGUGCAGUGUGGAAUAGCCAGCCCUCAGGCAUCCAAGUUCGAAGGGAGAUCAAGGGUCCCAAAG